Molecule: transfer RNA, 72 nt
Filed under: Dipodomys ordii (Ord's kangaroo rat)
Lineage: Eukaryota; Metazoa; Chordata; Mammalia; Rodentia; Heteromyidae
Rfam family: tRNA
About the family: Transfer RNA (tRNA) molecules are approximately 80 nucleotides in length. Their secondary structure includes four short double-helical elements and three loops (D, anti-codon, and T loops).
Source: Rfam by way of RNAcentral
GUGAUGUUGGCUCAGUGGUAGAGUUCUUGCCUCACAUGCAUGAGGCCCUGGGUUCGAUUCCUCAGCACCACA